This 424-nucleotide ribosomal RNA is filed under the name uncultured Formosimonas sp. Its description in RNAcentral is "bacterial SSU rRNA". It matches the Rfam family "Bacterial small subunit ribosomal RNA", at positions 338 to 780 of the family's 1533-position model. The record is from RNAcentral. Lineage: Bacteria; Pseudomonadati; Pseudomonadota; Betaproteobacteria; Burkholderiales; Burkholderiaceae.
CCUACGGGAGGCAGCAGUGGGGAAUAUUGCACAAUGGGGGAAACCCUGAUGCAGCGACGCCGCGUGAAGGAAGAAGUAUCUCGGUAUGUAAACUUCUAUCAGCAGGGAAGAAAAUGACGGUACCUGACUAAGAAGCCCCGGCUAACUACGUGCCAGCAGCCGCGGUAAUACGUAGGGGGCAAGCGUUAUCCGGAUUUACUGGGCGUAAAGGGUGCGUAGGCGGUCUUUCAAGUCAGGAGUUAAAGGCUACGGCUCAACCGUAGUAAGCUCCUGAUACUGUCUGACUUGAGUGCAGGAGAGGAAAGCGGAAUUCCCAGUGUAGCGGUGAAAUGCGUAGAUAUUGGGAGGAACACCAGUAGCGAAGGCGGCUUUCUGGACUGUAACUGACGCUGAGGCACGAAAGCGUGGGGAGCAAACAGGAUUA